This 253-nucleotide ribosomal RNA is filed under the name uncultured bacterium. Its description in RNAcentral is "partial 16S ribosomal RNA". It matches the Rfam family "Bacterial small subunit ribosomal RNA", at positions 524 to 776 of the family's 1533-position model. The record is from RNAcentral.
UACAGAGGGUGCGAGCGUUGUCCGGAAUCACUGGGCGUAAAGGGCGCGUAGGCGGUCUCUUAAGCGUGUGGUGAAAGCCCGGAGCUCAACUCCGGGUCGGCCAUGCGAACUGGGAGACUGGAGCUUGUCAGAGGCAGGCGGAAUUCCGGGUGUAGCGGUGGAAUGCGUAGAGAUCCGGAAGAACACCGGUGGCGAAGGCGGCCUGCUGGGACAGUGCUGACGCUGAGGCGCGACAGCGUGGGGAGCAAACAGG